This 220-nucleotide non-coding RNA is filed under the name Pseudomonas rhizosphaerae. The record is from RNAcentral. Lineage: Bacteria; Pseudomonadati; Pseudomonadota; Gammaproteobacteria; Pseudomonadales; Pseudomonadaceae.
GCUAGGCGCCAUCGUUUGGGUGCCCUUCACAGGGUGAAACGGGAAACCGGUGCGUGCCAACCUCGAGAGGCGUUGGUACAAGUCCGGUGCUGCCCCCGCAACGGUAAGCGAGAGAAGUGUCAGAUCCACUGUGCUCCUGGGCAUGGGAAGGCGACGCUUUCAAGGCUGGCUCAUGCCGCCCCUCGCAAGCCCGGAGACCGGCCCAGACAGUCUUUGCUCG